This 384-nucleotide ribosomal RNA is filed under the name Triticum aestivum (bread wheat). RNAcentral describes it as "partial small subunit ribosomal RNA". The record is from RNAcentral. Lineage: Eukaryota; Viridiplantae; Streptophyta; Magnoliopsida; Poales; Poaceae.
AUGUGCGUCCCAUUCCUCGCCGUCAUGGUUGUCGGGAUCCAGGGCCUGUACCAGAGCAAGCGGCGGCGGCGGCGUGCAGCAAGGGCGCGAGCAACGGCGCGGAGCACCAGAGUAGGCAGCGGAGCAAGCAGCACCGGCGCGGCGGCGCGCAAGCAGCAGCAACAGCGACGAGGCGGCGCGCAAACAGCAGUAGCAGCAGAGCAAGCAGCAGGGACGCGGCGCCAAGGAAGCAGCAGGGGUGCGGUGCCGCGGAAUCAGCAGCAGCGGAGCAAGCGGCAGGGGCGCGGCGCCGUGGAAGCACCAGCAGCGGCGCGGCGGUGUACAAGCAGCAGCGACGGAGACGCAAGCAGUAGUAGCGGAGCAAAGCAGCAGCCGCGCGCAUGA